This 373-nucleotide ribosomal RNA is filed under the name uncultured bacterium. RNAcentral describes it as "bacterial SSU rRNA". It matches the Rfam family "Bacterial small subunit ribosomal RNA", at positions 28 to 404 of the family's 1533-position model. The record is from RNAcentral.
GACGAACGCUGGCGGCGUGCUUAACACAUGCAAGUCGAGCGGUAAGGCCCCUUCGGGGGUACACGAGCGGCGAACGGGUGAGUAACACGUGGGUGACCUGCCCUCAGCUCUGGGAUAAGCCUGGGAAACUGGGUCUAAUACCGGAUAUGACUCCAUGACGCAUGUCGUGGGGUGGAAAGCCUUGUGCGGCUGGGGAUGGGCCCGCGGCCUAUCAGCUUGUUGGUGGGGUGAUGGCCUACCAAGGCGACGACGGGUAGCCGGCCUGAGAGGGCGACCGGCCACACUGGGACUGAGACACGGCCCAGACUCCUACGGGAGCAGCAGUGGGAAUCUUGCGCAAUGGGCGAAAGCCUGACGCAGCGACGCCGCGUGA